This 253-nucleotide ribosomal RNA is filed under the name uncultured bacterium. Its description in RNAcentral is "partial 16S ribosomal RNA". It matches the Rfam family "Bacterial small subunit ribosomal RNA", at positions 524 to 776 of the family's 1533-position model. The record is from RNAcentral.
GACGGAGGGUGCAAGCGUUGUUCGGAUUGACUGGGCGUAAAGGGCGUGUAGGCGGUUGCCCAAGUCCGAUGUGAAAGCCCGAGGCCUACCCUCGGAAGUGCAUCGGAAACUAGGCAGCUGGAGCGCGAUAGAGGAGGGUAGAAUUCCUGGAGUAGCGGUGAAAUGCGUAGAUAUCAGGAGGAAUACCGGCGGCGAAGGCGGCCCUCUGGAUCGUUGCUGACGCUGAGACGCGAAAGCGUGGGGAGCAAACAGG